Molecule: long non-coding RNA, 1279 nt
Organism: Danio aesculapii
Lineage: Eukaryota; Metazoa; Chordata; Actinopteri; Cypriniformes; Danionidae
Exons: 3
Source: RefSeq, a predicted model, not a curated record
UUGCAGAUAUGUACGUGAUGGGAAUGCGAGUGGAAGUUACGAGUCUAGAAAAUUUGUCAAAGGCAAAGAUUGAGGAAGAGGUGAUUAUACAGUUACAAGAGGAGCUGAUGAAGCUUGGAGUUCCCAGCAACGUCACCAUGCAUCUGAGAGACUAUUAUAAGAUCAAACCCUGAUGAAGGAGGACAGCGCUUUACUGUUUCCACAUUUUAGAGUUUUAGACUCAGUACUUACUACUUGUAUAAAAUAUAACUGUACUGUCUUUACUUUUAUAAAUGAAUGAUCUUAAUCAUGAUAAUAAUCUUAUCUUAAAAUAUCCAUAAUUAACAGGUUCUGUGUUUAGUGCGUCAGUUCUUUUGCCAUUUAUUUACAGUUAUCAGUUGCAUUAUGAGACUUUUAUCUCUGCUCUGUCAACUUUUGAUGUUAAAAAUUCAACUGAACAACAACAAAGGGACUUUGAUUGACAUUUUAGUAGUGUGAAAAUAUGUACCAUAAAAUAAAUAUUAUAUAGACCAGUGUUUCCCAACCCUGUUCCUGGAGGCACACCAACAGUUCAUGUUUUGGAUGUCUCCCUCAUCUGACCCAUUAACUUCAGGUUUUGGAGUCUCUUCCAAUGUUCUGAUGAGUUGUUUCAGGUGUGUUUGAUUGGGGAGAGAAUGAAAAUGUGUACUGUUGGUGUGCCUUUAGGAACAGGGUUGGGAAACUCUGAUAUAGACUAUAUUAAGUCUAUAUCAAUAUUAGAAAGAGUACUGGCAGUGUAUUACCAGGGUUGUUUUUGUACAUAAUUUACAACAACAACCCAGGAAAUAUACCACUUCAAACUAUUAAAAAUGAUAAUAAAAGCCAUUUUUUUCCAACUGUUCAACUUUAAAAUUUGAAAAUUGCUAUUCGAAUGCAUAAAUAAAUGAGGAAAAAAUAUAUAAAUCAUAAAGUAUGGAUCACCCUUAAUUUGCAGAUAUUUUUACAGUGUAUCUUUUUCCCAUAAUGAAAUAUUAUAUCAUUGCAUUUAUCGUUUUAAAGGACUAAUUAGUAAAGUGUUUCAUAUCAAAAUUGAUUGAGCUUGAAUUUAAUGAUUGGGUUUAUGGACUACAUAUAGUUUGAUCAAUAGCUGUUAAUCGAAAGGUAUGUAAGAUGAAACAAUAUUUACAAUAAAUUGGUAUCAUGAUGGCAUAUAUAUAUUAGUAUACUUAUAGGUGCUUGUUUUGAAAUGGUUUUGCUUUGAAUAUACAGAGGGGAAAGCUAUGUGUGUAAAUUGAAAUAAACUGUGAAGUUUUAAAAGGAA